This 421-nucleotide long non-coding RNA is filed under the name Rattus norvegicus (Norway rat). RNAcentral's name for it is "long non-coding RNA NONRATT009757". The record is from RNAcentral. Lineage: Eukaryota; Metazoa; Chordata; Mammalia; Rodentia; Muridae.
GCCAACACAGCUUCUGUCACCCUCCCACAUUAGGUCCUGCCCCGUGGGAUGACUUGACUAAACCCCACAGGAGUUCUGACUGCCCUCACUGCUGCUUGGAUGGGACCAAAACACAGCCCAGGAGUACAGUGGAGUCCAUGCCUUGUGGAGCUGACCUCCACCGCUGAGAGGAAGGAGCCAGGAUGGAGACAACAGAUACAUUGUUGGCCUAUCCGCCCACCCAAGAGCUGUUCUAAGACUCAGUGGUUCUGCACCUCUGCCAUCCUUUCCGUGACUCAGCAAACCAGCCGUGUUGCUAGAGAAACUGAGGUCAGAUUGGAAACCUACCACCCUGCGUCUGCUCUUUAACCUGCUCACUUCCACAUUCUCCUUCCCUCCUGCAGCCCUGGGAGGGAUCCCGUGAAUAAAGUCUUGUCAAUAA